GGCAUAGUUUAAAAUGCAACUUCCUGAUAAGAAAGAACAUUAAUGCAGAGCUAAAGGGGAGAGUGUCUCUGAGUGUCUUUGAAGAGUUGUUUGAACCUUUGGAAAUGGCAAGAUUGUUUGCACUAGGACCCUUAGUUUUGAUCCUAUGCUUGGUCUUAUAUGUCAGUGCUGACCAAUCCACCAACCCCACACCACCCACUGCUCUCACCCCAGCAUUACCUACCACUGCAGGGAGCACUUCGGAUCAGAAAGAAACUCAGACAAGCACAUCAAUCUCACCCACACACACCACUAUACAACAACAAAACACAGAGACCACAGAGAGCACUUCAGAUCAGAAAGAAACUCAGACAAGCAAAUCAAUCUCACCCACACACACCACUAUACAACAAAAAAACACAGACACCACGGCGAGCACUUCUAAUCAGAAAGAAACUCAGAGAAGCUCAUCAAUCUCAUCCUCACGCACCACUAUACAACAACAAAAGCCAGAGAACACAGGGAGCACUUCUAAUCAGAAAGAUAUUCAGACAAGCACUUCAACCUCACACCCACGCACCACUACACAACAACAAAACACAGACACCAAAGGUAAAAGUGUAUUUUACAUUAUAUUAAAUGUUUUUUUUUUUUUUCAUAAAUGUGAAAAAGUAUAAGAUAAGCAUCUUAUUUGAUCAAAUAUUCAUCAUUAUAAAGAGAGCGCUUCUAAUCAGAAAGAAACUCAGAGAAUUAAGGAUAACAAUCUUAAUUGCUUGCCAAUGUGCAUUGGCUCAUUUAGUUUACACUUAAAGUAGAUUGGUCUCUCUAAGAGAGAUCCCGCUUUGAUGGUCAUCUGACGAAUUGGUAAAAGUGUAUUUAACAUUAUAUUUCAUGCUUUUUAUCACUUACCAAUUUAUAAUAUAAAUACAUUUAUAUUAUGUUGUGCUUACGCAGUUUGUGGUAAUAAAAAUAAAUUUUUUGUCUUGCCUUUUUUUAAACAAUACAAUACAAAACUCUACUACCAUAUUGGAGUAUAACCUUCUUAUAUAGGACUAUAAAUGGACCUACAUUAUAUUGAGUGUAAAUAACUACUAUGUAAUUACAUUUAAAUUAAUUAUUUGAUACAUUGCACUUGUUAUUGUAUUUAUUUUACUGUAUCGCUUUAUUUUUUUACUUGUUACAGUGUAAUUAUACAUGUAUGUACUGAGUAAUAUUAAUUACCUACAUGUACUUACUAUAUGGUUAGGUUUAGGGUUACUUCCAUGUAAUUAUGCAUAACUUAUUGUUAUUAUAAAGGUAAGUAAAGUGUUACCCACUAUGAUUUACUUCUAUUUAAAAAAAGUAUGUAAUUACUGUAAAAUUGCUGUAAAACCUGUUCCUAACCUGACCCGCAUCCCACCUCAACAGCAGCAAAAGUGUUUUACAAUACAACACGAACACAAUAAGUACAUUGUACCUAACAUUUUUCGUUUUGGUUGUUGUAUAACUUAUGUUCAUGCUAGUUAAAGGCACCAGUGAACGUUUUAUUUGAUUGCAUAAUUAUUAUCAUGCAAGGAACACUUCAGAUCUGAAAGACACUGGGAAUUACACAUCAGUCUCACACACACUCACCCCCACACAACAACAAAACACUAGCACCACUGCAGGCAACAGCAUAUAUUUUAACAUUGCAUUUAUUUAUAAUUUUUUUUUUUUUAAUUUAGAAGUGUUAGAUAAUUCAGUGAGCAGCAGCUUGUACUUGGUGAAUAGAUGAAGGUCAUCUUCCAGCUAUCAAACAUAUUCGUUUCUUAAAACAUUUGUAUAAUAGAAAAAUUGCAUAGCCCUUUUUUUCUUUUUUUUUAUGAAAUCUAUAACUAACUGAAGUUUUAUUUCAUAUUUUAGAAGCUUCAAAAAUAGGUCUAGACAAAAUAAAUGAGCAUCAUUGAUCGCAGCAUCAUUACUUCUGCCAUUGCUUUAGUCUAUUAUUGGAAAAGCUGUUACAAUACUUGUCUUGUUUCAAUACUUGUCUUGAAUUAUAAGGUUCUAUCUAUUUUUAAUUUUACCAAACAAACAUUUUCACAUUUUAGACAGCCUAUGGCACACAGAGAGGUGUAAUAACUGACACAUGAGUUACAGUGAGAGAGCUUUAUAUAUUUCAUUUAGAUAGAGUCCCUCACACCUGCGUGCUGGUUGACCGUUGGAUGACCGUUCAUUUCCUUACAGUCACACAAGCUGUUUUUAUGUUUAGCUGCUAUAAUUCAGUCUUGCAUGCACUGUGUGGUACUGUGAUAAACUCAGAAAAUUGUUCCUAGAACUGUUUUAGACACGAAAAUGAAAUCAAACUGGACCCUUUUUACUUAUACAUAUACAAAUAGGCAUUCCUGGUGAUAUUUUAUUACACAAAUUGUCAGAAUAAGUCUUUCAUCAAAAUGUUAUAGCGUGUGUGUGUGUCUGUGUGUGUAUUAAAAAACUAAGUUAUUCACUAGUAUCACACAGUUUAUCAAGUUAUACCUCCCGUAAAUGUUAAUGUUGAUGUCAAAGAUUGUGCUGCUUCAAUUUAGUGCAAAUUUGUAAUUGUGCAAUUCACCACGGCUAAAGCUAAUACUAGUACAAUAUUUAAUAUUUUUGUGAAUUACAUAAAGUGAUGCUCAAUAUCAUGAACUUGCAUUUCCUUUAUAAACAAUCAAUUUUUUUAGAUGACCGUUCAUUUCCUUAUAGUCACACAAGCUGUUUUUAUGUUUAGCUGCAAUAAUCCAUUCUUGCAUCCACUGUAUGGUAUAGCUUGUUAAUGAUAUUAAACAUGUCUGUAUUAUAUAUUUGUAUUUAAAAAUUACAAAUAUUAUUUCACUAUUAUUACACAGUUGACAGUUAUACCUCCCGGAAAUUGUUGAUGUCAAAGGUUGUGCAGCUUCAAUUUAGAGUAAAUUUGUUAUUGUGUAAUUUGCCAUGGCUAAUGCUAAUACUAAUAUAAUAUUUUAGAUAUUUGUGAAUUACGUGAAGUGAUGCUCAAUAUCGUGAACUUUCAUUUCCUUUAGAAACAGUCCCCUCACCCUCACCUCCUACACAAACCUCACUGUCACCAGAUCAAGGUACUGAUUUGCUUCUUGAAAUGUGUUGUUUCUGUGUUAUUUGAGCUGGAUAUCUUUAGUCUGGUCAGACAGUUUUAACUCUUUUAUUGUCAACUAGACACUCAACAAAGUUCAAGUAAUGGCUCCAUCACCUCACCUCCAAUCACGACCAUCACAUCUCUCACCUCCACACAACCCACCUCAACCUUACACACAUCCACCAGCAUCACGGGUAACUCCACAACACUUGUGCUCUCUGAACAAAUGAUUGAUGAUUAUUGAGACAAAAUUGCUUGAUUUAUGAUGAUUAACAUUUAAAUAUGUGUUUUUCUCAGGUACAACAGAAGGACCAUGUAAGUAUUUGUUUGUCUGUUGUGUGAAGUCAACUUUAAUUGUGUUGUUCAAGACACAGUUUCUUCUUGUGAAUUUGUGACUGUUCAUACACACUUACACACAGGUCAGUACAGCGUUUUGAAGAGUGUGAACAAAACCGAAGCUCGUGUGGUGAAUAUCAGCGGCUCUAAGGACCAAAUUUACACAAUCAGGAUAAAGGAGAAGCACAAUGAGAUCCGUGCUGAGCAAAUAUCUCACCAAACUGUCUUUAAAAUUCCUUUUGAAUGGUUAAAACCAUGCACUGUGUACACCGUCAGUGUGGAUGACUGUGAACUCAGUGGAAACAACACCUUUACUUCCAGUAGUAAGUGUGAAAAAGAAGAUUUCUGCAUUAAUUAAAAUAUAUUGAAAUAGACUCAGAUGGGCCAUAAUUUACAGUGACCUCACACUUAAAAAUAUCCAGUUUAUUUACAAUUCAUUCAACAGAUUGAUAUUUUGUUACAUAAUGCAAUGAGUCAUUUUUAAAUAUAAUUUUUAAAUCUCCAAAUUUUCAUUGGGGACUUUUUAUAAUUUUAUUUCACAGCAUAGAGAGCAAUAACAAUUCUUAUAUUUGAGAUUUUUGAACUGUGUUUGUAUUAUGUUGCUGAAUAGAUAUUGUGAAGUAAUAUUUAUAUUUGUCUCUCAUUUGUUAUACAGAAAAUGGAGAAAUUGUUCCAAAAACUGUUAUGACAAACGUGACAGAUAAUGAAGUGUGUUUGAAAGGAGAAUUGACUGGUAUUCAAUGGGAUCUGACUGAAUGUGUUAAAAUAACGGAGCAAAACUCUUGUGCAUCCACACACACCGUUGUACUGGACACAUGUAACUACACAAUGAAUGUUGCUCUGCCCCCAGGUUGGUAUUUAAUAAACUCAACUGCUGUUUAAACACAAAUGAAAUGUGUGUAGAAUAAUGAUAAAUGUUAAAUCAUUCUCACUCUCUCUCAUGAUGUAAAAUUGUCUGUUUUUCAGUUCAUGAGUCUGAAUUUGAAUUGGUCACAACACACA
This is a long non-coding RNA of Carassius auratus (goldfish), 4402 nucleotides long. The record is from Ensembl. NCBI's taxonomy places the organism in Eukaryota, Metazoa, Chordata, Actinopteri, Cypriniformes, Cyprinidae.